Molecule: microRNA precursor, 102 nt
Organism: Cavia aperea (Brazilian guinea pig)
Lineage: Eukaryota; Metazoa; Chordata; Mammalia; Rodentia; Caviidae
Product: microRNA 196a-1
Source: Ensembl
UGAACUAGGACUGCUGGGUGAAUUAGGUAGUUUCAUGUUGUUGGGCCUGGGCUUCUGAACACAACAACAUCAAACCACCCGAUUCACGGCAGUUAAGGCUCC